UCAGGAGCAAAAAUACCCCCUAGGAACAAGGAAACUCUUAAAAGUUACUGUAUAGAAAACCAAUAUAAAAAUCAGUCAUAUUUCUAUGUACUCAGAAUGAUAAAUCUGAAAGUAUGAUCAAGAAAAUGAUCAUAUUUACAUUAAUCUAAAAGUGUUGGGGUUGAAUUUAAUUUAGAGGUGAAAGUUCUGUACACUUAAAACCAUAAAAAAUUGCAAAAGAAUUAAGGAAGACAGUAAAUGGAAAAGUAUUACAUGUUUAUGGGUGGGAAAAAAAUCCCUAGUUUUAGAAAUCUGAUACUUCUCAGAGAAAUCUACACAUUCAUUGCAAUCUUCAUCAAAAAUUUAUUGAUACUUUUAAGAUAAAUGAGCAAAGAAUUUUAAAUUUUAAUGGAACCACCAGUGACCCAGAAUAACCAAAACAAUGCCUAGAAGAACAAGGUGAGGGACUUUGCUUUUGUUUCAAAAUAUACUAAAAUACAGUAUCUAUCUAUCUAUCUAUCUAUCUAUCUAUCUAUCUAUCUAUCUAUCUAUCUAACAUGUCUCGCAUAUAAUUUAAACUAUAAAUAUAGUAACUAAACUGGCAUUGACCUGACAUAAGAACAUAUACAUAGAUAAAUAAAGCAGAAAAGGAAGGCCAGAAAUAAGCUUACUAUGAGAUAAUCAAUGUGUCUUCCAAGGGCCCAAGCAUACCUAAUGUGAGGAAGUGUAGUCUCAGAACAAAUAUGUUGAAAAGCUUGUGUUUCUAAAGAUGAUGUUGAAACUGGAUAUGCAAAGGAAAAAUACUAAAUCUUUAUCUUAUAUGUACACGAAGUCAAUCUAGGUGGAUUAAGUAUUUAAAGAAGAAUUGAAACUAUAAAACAUCUAGAAGAUGCUAUAUGUUUAUGCCCUUAUUAGAUGCCACUCUGGUCAUUCAUUGUCUGAAUUCCACUCACCACCACAACCUAUUUUCAAAUAGGCUUCUUCUAAAGAAUUUCUUCUGAUACUUGCAUGUUGAACAGCUACUGAGAACCAUUUAUACUUGAAGGAAAAUUUUUAUGAAUGUAAAUUUCUUGGACCAAUUUUUUUCUUUAGUAUUUUAAUAUGGUACUCCAUUUCUUUCAGUAAUUUUCUACAUUCAUGUUGAGAACCGAGACCAUUCUAAUUUUCUAUUCCUGACACGUCCCAUGCAUUAGUAUAUUUUGAAACAAAAGUAAAGAUUCUCUUGAGUUGCUUAAUUUUCUUCUUUGCUAAGUUACACUUUUGUUAACAUGUAAUUCAUAGAAUAUGAGAGCACCUUCACAGAAUAUGGAAACUCAGUGGUUAAUUGUGUAUUCAUGAAGUUGUAUAGCUGUCGUCAUACCUAACUUUUAGGUAUUUUCAUCAUCCCAAGGGAGAUCCCAAAGGAGCUGUCACUCUCACCUUGAAGUCCCUAGAAACAAUUAAUCAGCCUGCUUUUUAUGGGUCUAUUUUGUGCAUUUCAUAUAACUACUUGGGGGUUUUGUUACUUUUUUUUUUAUGAAACAUAAUUAUCAAGGUUCAUCCAUGCUAUAACAUUUAUCAGAACUUGGCUACUUUUCAUUAUAAGUAUUCUAUUAAAUGGUUACAUUGCAUUUUGUUGACUCAUGUAAGCUGAUCCCAUCCUAUAGCUAUUCCAUUAUAAAAUUGCUUUAAUUAAGAGUCUUACACGAAUUUUAUGAACAUAUAUGCUGGUAAUUUUGCCAUGCAGAAGAUUUUUAUUUUGACUGAGUCCUAUUUGUUUUGUUUUUAAACCGUGUCAUGCAUAAAUUCUUUUCCAAGAACAAUGUCAUAAACCUUCUCUGCCCCCAGGUGUCAUAUGGAGGUCCUUAUGGAUAUCGGGGGCUGGAGGACCAUAAAAGAUGAACAGGCACUAUUGAGAAACUGGGUAUGAGGAAAGCAGUGAAUGAUGCCCAUUUCACAGGGCUGGAUAAGCCAGACUUGAGGAAGAAAUUGACUCAGCAAGGACCUCAAGACUGGCAUGGGGAUCUCAUAGCUUUCGUGAGCACUUAGGUGAGGCAGGAUCUUUAUAAAGUUGGACAGGCUUUAGCAGAUGUACAAGACUCAGACAGCAUGUAAGGAGUGUGUAAAGUGACAGAGCAACCUAGAGGAGAUAAGAGAAAGGCAAAGUUGACAAAGAGGUCUAUCUGGGUAAUUCAAAGGUCAAUGUGGCAAGAUUUGCUUCAAGCAGGAGUUCCUAAUGGGGUGGGGUGGAGAAAUGGACAGCAAGCCAAAUUCUUUGCUAAGGAGCUUCGGGAAGGUGUUAGAGCCCAAGAAGCAGUUCUCAGAAGGACUCCAUGAUAAAACAACACAGGUAAAGAUAAUCAAGCCUCUCUCAGGGGUGGGUAAUUGUCCCCCCCCCCCCACAUACUAAGCAGGAUGUCUCUCUGCUCUAGCAAAGGUUAUGCUCGGUUUGUGUAAGUCAUCCCCAAGAAGGAAUUUUAACCACACUAAGUCUUUAUUUACUUUUAUAUGCCAUUGUUUAUUGCUGUUGUUUUUAUUUUACAGAUAAAAAUGAGUUAUAUGGAUGUUAGGUAUCAUUACUAAGCCUACCAUGUUACAGGGAUCUCUAGAACCCAACAUUAUUCACUGAAGGAAACGUUUUGGCUGAUUCUGGCAGCAAAAGUGACUUUCAAGGGUGUAUAGUGCAAAAUCGUGAUUUGGACUUAAUUAUCUCACUCAGUCACUUCAUACAUUUUUGUCAUGUUGAGCAACGGAUCUGGGUAGGGGCUGGGCUGCAGAGCCUUAACUUAGGAAUGUUAAACCUGUCUUGUAAUCCCAGAGAAUGAUGGCCAGAGCCUCAAAGUCCACUCGCAAACUAUUCAUUAAGCAAGCUCCUCAAAUCUUGAGGUAUGUGAUCUUACCUUUCUAAAUCACGCCAAAGAAAUUCCUCACACUGUGAGAAACUGUGUCUUACAGAUUCCACCACUGCACACAGCAGCAUUGCUGUUCAAUCUCAUUUGCCUCCAUGUCCAGGAACUCCGUCACCACCUGGUUCUUUCCCUCUUUUCCUUUGUCCAGAUGCUAAUAUUUUCUUUGUUAAUUCAUCUAGUAUUUACAUUAUAUGUGCUAAAUAUAUUGUAUAGCACAAUAUGAUAUAUAUAUAUUCCAAAAUUCUUCUGUGCUUAGCAUUUUGAACUACAUUAUUAGUCUAUAUUAAUUCUCUCCCAUUGCCGUCUCUUGCUUCUCCCACAUGAAUCUCCUUCCUCUUCCCAGAUACCAUGCUAAAUUAUUUUCAUAAUUUAGAAAAAGUCUGAAUUCUGCCUUUAAGAUAGUUAAAAAAUACUGUAUUUUUCUAUGUAUUUUUCAUGUGAGUUUGACUUUUGAAAAUUGAAAAAUGUGGUUUUGCAGUAAAAGGGACCGCUGGUGGAAGUCUGCAGAGAGAACCAACGAAGCCUUGGAAUUCCUCCUGCUCUGACUGCCUUUUGUGCCACAUAAUCUCUGCAGUCUUUCAGUGAGUGCUGAGCAUCACUGCAAAUGAGUUCAAACAGGAUUUUAUUACUUGUAACUGAAAGAAUGUCACCAAGUAAUAAUUAUACUAAAACUCUUAGCCUGAUAAUGUGGGCACAGGUACUGUGGCAUUUAGAAACACUGUCUCCGUCUCCAAAGGUAUCUUUGUUUCCUGGGUGAUUAUUCAGUCCGAAUAUGUAUGCCCAUAACCUAUGGAUGUUCAGACACUGAAUUUCCAAGGGACUUUUGGUUUAGGCUUGGUGUGCAAAGAGGGUUAGUUUUAGGAUAAAUUAGAAUAUUUGUCUGGCUUUAAAAUAUAGAACUCCAGAUCAAGGAUCAAGUUAAACAAACUUAGUGUAUGAAAACUAUAACAGUUUCAUUUCACUGGGAAACUAGUGCCUAAGUCAGAGCAUUAAUUGCCAUAAUAAAAUGAUUUCCAUUUGUAGAAAGCAAACAGACUUGUUCAUAAAUAAAUUUGAAUCAUGAUUUCAACACUUAGCAACUGCAUGAUUUUGGUUAACCUACUUAUAAUCCUUGUGCCUCAGUUUUAAAUUUGUAAAAUGGAAACAAACUUAUCAACAUUUGGAGAUACUUAAAAGCAUACAUGUAUGGAAAACUGUUUCCUUUCAUUCAUCUACCUCCCCAGGCUCUUACAGUCUUCCAAGAUGAUCCCCAAGCCUUUCAGGGAGAGGUGUGCUGUAGACAUACCACUCAAGGCUGAGUACUUUGAAGUCUCUUAUUUUCUGCAUGUUGACUUGUGGGUUUCUCUGUUAACUGCCAUUUUCUGUGAUCUAUUUGCAUCUGGGUACGACUGAUGAUUACUUUUUUUCUCAGGUAAUGUGCAUAGCACCUUCCAGCUCUAUGAAAACUAGGCAGAAGGGAUUAAGUUUCCGGGAAGCAGAGAGGCCAUAUGUAAGAUCUUGAGUUCCAGAAUCAAAGUGUUGAGAACAGUGAAUCCCCUCCUGGAGAACAGCUGCUUUGGCCUGUUGCCCAGUCAAGAAAGGACUUAGUAUGAGCUAGGAAUAUAUAUGACAUUGUAGUUGUUUGUUUUUUAGUCUUUACUCUUUGGGGAGCCUACGGGAGCCCACACGGGGCCCUAGUAAGACCUUACUCAAGGUCCGAGAAUCUGAGCAAUCUUUACUCAGCAGGGCAUCAGGUGUUUUGAAGGGUCUACACUUGGCUAUAUGUUGUGCUUUGAUCUUAAGAGGGGGAGAUCUUUUGCCUUGCCCCUAGACAUUGUAUUAAAAAGCCCUUUGGAAUAAACUUUGAGGCAACUGGGUAUUAACCCAGGGCCGUUCUGAAGCUA
This is a long non-coding RNA of Peromyscus californicus insignis, 4750 nucleotides long. RefSeq lists it as uncharacterized. The transcript has 2 exons. The record is from RefSeq and is a predicted model, not a curated record. NCBI's taxonomy places the organism in Eukaryota, Metazoa, Chordata, Mammalia, Rodentia, Cricetidae.